GACGGGGACCCGCACAAGCGGUGGAGCAUGUGGUUUAAUUCGAAGCAACGCGAAGAACCUUACCAGGUCUUGACAUCGAUCCGACAGGGCAACAAAAUGCCCUUCUCUUCGGAGCGGAGAAGACAGGUGGUGCAUGGUUGUCGUCAGCUCGUGUCGUGAGAUGUUGGGUUAAGUCCCGCAACGAGCGCAACCCUUAUCCUAAGUAGCCAGCGGUUUGGCCGGGCACUCUUGGGAGACUGCCAGGGAUAACCUGGAGGAAGGUGGGGAUGACGUCAAAUCAUCAUGCCCCUUAUGAUCUGGGCUACACACGUGCUACAAUGGCGUAAACAAAGAGACGCGAAGCCGCGAGGCAGAGCAAAUCUCAAAAAUAACGUCUCAGUUCGGACUGCAGGCUGCAACUCGCCUGCACGAAGCUGGAAUCGCUAGUAAUCGCGAAUCAGAAUGUCGCGGUGAAUACGUUCCCGGGUCUUGUACACACCGCCCGUCACACCAUGGGAGUCGGUAAUGCCCGAAGCCAGUGACCCAACCAUGAUGGAGGGAGCUGUCGAAGUUCAGGACCGAUG
This 563-nucleotide ribosomal RNA is filed under the name uncultured bacterium. RNAcentral's name for it is "bacterial SSU rRNA". It matches the Rfam family "Bacterial small subunit ribosomal RNA", at positions 912 to 1473 of the family's 1533-position model. The record is from RNAcentral.